GUUGUUUCUUUUUUUCUCCAAACAUUUUCUUGUUUCUAUAGAUUCAAAUCCUGAGAGAAGACUACAGUGGAAAUAUUGCCUAAUUCAAUUCAUGAAACCAUCUUUUUUUAAAAAGAACAAAACUGUUUUUCUGCAUGCAUUUCUUGGAGGCAUUAAGAAAAAAAAAAAACCCAUAGUAACCUUGUAAAGUACUGUUUUUCUCAAAAUAAGAGGAGGCAUUUUCAUCUUUGUUAUUGUAACUUUGUUUUACACGGACUGCUUCUACAUACAUACUUUCUAUAAUCCCAAAUUGUUGAAUUGGUUCUUUCCAGAAAAUCUGAUCGAAUUAAAGAUUACUGUAAACAUUUCCUGUCAUACUGACAGUUGCACCAUUUCCAGAGAUUUCAGUAUUGAAAAUGAGCUACAGAAGCUAAGGUUAUUUUGCCUACUGGUAACUAAGUUCUUUGAUAACCAUAUUGUGGUGGUUCUGUGCUUUUGUAUAAUGGGUGUCUUAAACUGAGGACAGUUUAGGGGGAUCCUUUCUGAUUCCAGGAAAGCGUUGCUUUCCUCAACACUGUGAUCUAAUCUGUGAUAAACCUGUACUAUAUACAAGUGGCUAACAAGUCAACCACAAACAAACUGAAUGUAAAAAUCUUAGUGCUGGUGCUGAAAUCUCUUCAGACAGUCAUAAUUUCCAGUUCAUUGUUUUAAAAAGUUAUCAAGCAUCAAGUGUCAAUCGAAAACUGAAGACGAUCACUAAUGAAUGUUGAAUUUUCAUGCAUUUAGGUUUACCUUCUUUUUAGUUUCUCAGUUCAUUCUCUGCUAUUUUUACCAUAUUGUGUCAUUUUAAAUUUCUUACAUGCUAACGUUUUGUUUGAGCG
This 860-nucleotide long non-coding RNA is filed under the name Gallus gallus (chicken). Lineage: Eukaryota; Metazoa; Chordata; Aves; Galliformes; Phasianidae. The record is from RNAcentral.